This is a long non-coding RNA of Vigna radiata var. radiata (mung bean), 1043 nucleotides long. RefSeq lists it as uncharacterized. The transcript is spliced from 3 exons. Lineage: Eukaryota; Viridiplantae; Streptophyta; Magnoliopsida; Fabales; Fabaceae. The record is from RefSeq and is a predicted model, not a curated record.
CAUUCAGAGCAGAUUCAUAGGCGCGUGCUGCCAUGUAGUAGAGGCCUUGGGGUUGAUCAGCAGUGACUAGGACAUUGAAUGUCUGACCAGGUCCUAUCAUGAGGACUGUGGUUCUAAAGGGCUUUGUAUAUGCUGCAUCUGUACCAACCACUGUCAUGCUGUGGUUGGCAAUGGAGAAGAAAAGUUCUUGAUUGAGUGCACUGUUGAUGAUUCUCAACAUAAUUGUCUCCCCAGCUUCUACUGGAACACGCACAGUUCCUGCAUUGUGUGUUCGUUAAAUCAAUGAAUCUGGAACCUCUCUCAAAAUAGAACUGCUUUUUAAGGAAUGCAGGCACACACUGAGUAGUAAUUUUCACACCUUGGCUUGAGCAUCUGUAAAGAUCACCAGGUUGCCCAUUAGUGGUAUAUGCAACAGAUGUAUUUGGAGGUAAUCCUGCAAAGUCUGCCUGCCUUUGGAGAAGUACAAUAUCCGAAUCAAACCAUUGCCCUGUGGCAUCAACACGCGGAAGGAGAUUCAUUAUUCAAGUAAAUUGGGCAGAAGAUGAUUUUAGAGAUGUACCAAGAAGGAGGGGAAAUUCUUGCUUAGGCACAGAGAAGGGAUAGGCAGAACCCAAUCUGGGAUAGAUGAUGAAGGCUCCAUAAACAGUGGCUCUUAGGAAGCCAGUAUGAGCAUGCCACCAUAAUGUCCCUUCCUGAUCCCUGAUUCUAAAUCGGUAUGUGUAACUUCCCCCCGGUUGAAUGGGACACUGAGUUACAUAACUCGGCCCAUCUGCCCAUGGAUUUCGCAGCAUCCUUAACCCAUGCCUGAUGGACAUAACCCAUUAUCACUUUGUGAGGAAGAUCAAAUUUUGCAUCAGCAGUAAAUUGGUACAUGAACCAAUUAUGUAUCAAUAGCAUAGUAUAUCGACUUAUGGACCAACUAUUUAUUGUUAGAUUAGUGCGGGGAAAAGUUCUGACCGAAGAGUAUGAUAGUCAAGCAUGAGUUCCAUGUGAAAAUGAAAGAGAAAGAUGAUGCUAUGUACCAGUGGAUGGAGAUGUUGUAC